GCCGGUCCUCGGUAGUGGCUUCCGGAUCCGUCCGCCCGCGUCGGCGGGCACCGGAUCCGGGUGCUUCGAUCGAAGACCGGC
Molecule: non-coding RNA, 81 nt
Organism: Actinomadura sp.
Lineage: Bacteria; Bacillati; Actinomycetota; Actinomycetes; Streptosporangiales; Thermomonosporaceae
Source: Rfam